Molecule: unclassified non-coding RNA, 330 nt
Filed under: uncultured Archaeosporaceae
Lineage: Eukaryota; Fungi; Glomeromycota; Glomeromycetes; Archaeosporales; Archaeosporaceae
Description: sequence contains 18S rRNA gene
Source: RNAcentral
CCCAACUAUCCCUAUUAAUCAUUACGGUGGUCCUAGACCAACAAAAUAGAACCAACGUCCUAUUCUAUUAUUCCAUGCUAAUCUAUUCAAGCAAAAGCCCGCUUUAAACACUCUAAUUUUUUCAAGGUAAUGGUCCUGGCUCCCCAACACACCCAAUAAAGGACAUGCUGGCUCACCAGAAGGAAGACCCGACAGCAGACAGUACUCGCCAAAGACGGACCGCCCGGCCAGGCCUAAAAUUCAACUACGAGCUUUUUAACUGCAACAACUUUAAUAUACGCUAUUGGAGCUGGAAUUACCGCGGCUGCUGGCACCAGACUUGCCCUCCAA